RNAcentral lists this unclassified non-coding RNA (143 nucleotides) under soil metagenome. RNAcentral's name for it is "partial internal transcribed spacer 1". The record is from RNAcentral.
UAAUAAGUGUUUUAUGGCACUUUUUAAAUCCAUAUCCACCUUGUGUGCAAUGUCAGUCGAUCUUCUUCAUGGAGAUCGACCAAACAUCAACCUUAUCUUUUAACUCUUUGUCUUAAAAAUAUUAUGAAUAAACAAUUCAAAUA